GUUCCCAGGCUAGGGGUCCAAUCAGAACUACAGCUGCCAGCCUACACCACAGCAACAACACCAGAUCCAAGCCACACCUGCGACCUACACCACAGCUCAUGGCAAUGCUGGAUCCUUAACCCACUGAGUGAGGCCAGGGAUCAAACCCGCAUCCUCAUGGAUCCUAGUCGGGUUCAAUAACCACUGAGCCACAAAGGGAACUCCCACUUUUUUUUUCUUUAUGGCCGCACAUGAGACAUAAGGAAGUUCCCCAGCCAAGGACUGAAUCUGAGCUUCAGUUGCAACCUACGCCGCAGCUGUGGCAACACUGGAUCCUUUAACCCACCACACUUGCACUGGGGAUCAAACCCACACCUCCACAGUGACCCAAGCCACUGUAGUUGGAUUCUUAACCCACUGGGAACUCCAACAGACAUCCUAUUUUAUUUUUGUGAGAGUUUUUUUGUCCUUUUAGGGCCAAACUCGCAGCAUGUGGAGGUUCCCAGGCUAGGGGUCUAAUGGGAGCUGCAACUGCCAGCCUACACCAUGGCUUGCAGCAAGGCCAGAUCUUUAAUCCACUGAGCAAGGCCAGGGAUGGAACCUGCAUCCUCCUGGAUACUAGUCGGGUUCUUAACCUGCUGAGCCACAGUGGGAAUUCCUAUGUAGGUUUUUUUGGCCACACCCACAGCAUUCAGAAGUUCCUGGGCCAGGGAUUGAACACACACCACAUCAGGGACAACGCCAGAUCCUUAAACUGCUGAGCCACAGGGGAACUCCUAGGCAUCCUCUUUUAAACCACCUAUAGCUCCGGAAGGUUCCAAGCUAUCAGCCACUUGCCCCUCAAUAAAGGUGAGCAAAACCGAUUUGCUUCUCCCCAUGCCUGCUUGAGAUGAGCCAUACGGAGCAAGUAGAGUUUUCAUCCAGGCCAAAUAAGGCGAGUCUUCAGGGCUGGUAGCUGCUUUAAGGGCAGCAUAGCCCACCCCGCUACGCCCUCUUCUCAUGACUUGAGCUGCUUUAGAGAAGGUAGAAUGGACUUGAACUCCUGGGUCCUGAGACAGGACAGAAAGGGCUGGGGUAGGGUGGGGGCUCACCCUAUGUCUGUGCUUUCUGAGGGCUCGGUGGCUCGGGCUCCCCCCCCCCCACCCAGAGACCACUGCCUCCCGGGCCGGGGGCUUGAUCUCCGCGAUGUCAUUUAGUUCCCCAGACAGGCUGCUAGGAGGGGAUUAUGACCUGAGCCCAGUGGAUAGCAGGACCCCCCACACACUCACUUCCUCACCUUCACAGGCUGCUCCCAGGGACCCUCAAACACAGGCUGGACUCACUGGUGAUUUGAAUUAGGCGGGUGUCUGAAAACUGGCCCAGGGCCGGGGUCUCUGGGCCCACCCUGGCAAGCCUGGGGUCCAUCUGGAGGACUUGGCCCUGCAUGGCUGAGGGAGGGGCAGGAGAUCAGGGCUAUUUAUUAGCUUGUAGGCAGACCCCUUGUGCAGUCUGGUAAACCUGUGGCUUAUUCCCUCUUCAACGCACAAGAUAAAAAUACACAAGAAAAAAAAUUGUAGCUGUGUAUCCUGACAGAUGUUAGCCAGACUUACUGCGGUGAUCAGUCCAUAAUAUACACAGAUAUCAAAUCAUUAUGCCGUACACCUGAGACUAACACAAUGUUACAUAUCAAUUAUAUUUCAAUUAAAAAAAUAAUACAUGGGACUCGUUUGCCACUUAUAUCUCAAUAAAGUUGGGUAGAGGGAUAAAAUUAUUUAACUCCCUGGGGCUACAAAAAAGAAUUAAUAACAUUGGAACACAGCUCUGCUCAUGGAUUUCCUGGGGAUCGUGGACCACAGGUCUCAGCCCAAGAGAUAAGCCCCCCCGGCUCGGAUCCCACCCCCUCCUCCCAGCCAGAUUUAGGAUCCAAAGGUUGCCCUCAGUCACUUUGGUGGCCUGUGACCUCCAAAAAGCUUAGCUUUAAAGUCUGGGUGAUCCUAUGUUCCGAGGCCCCCAAUAUGCCCCCUCCCUGAGUGCAGGGGUAGGUGAGAGACACACCCCCACAGGGCCAGGCCUGAGCAGAGGGAAGAAAGCAGGCCCGGGCAGUCCACCCAGGCGUCCCCAGGCCCCAGCGUCUGCCUCUGCCCUCUCCUGGUCCCUUCCCAGCCCCGGGGGUGCCGAGCUGAGUAACUCCAGCUAUGCAGCCUGGCCGGUCUACCUGGGCGUGAGUGGGCAGGGCUGUCCUCAAGUGGGUGGCCCCCUACACCUGCAGGGCCACAGGAACCGAGAAAGAACGAGAAAUUGGAGGGACGGUGCCAGGCAAAAGCUGAACAACCACAGCAGCUCUUGUCUGCUCGGGUCUAGGGCCCCAACGCACGUGCCACGCGCUGCUGUAAGCAUUUGACACACGCAAGCUCAUUGUACCCUCGCAGUAACCCCAGGAAGGAGGGGUGAUGGACUCCUGUGUUACGAGGAGGAAACUGAGGCACAGUCAACUUGUCAAGGAUGCCAAGCUAGGGCAUGGUGCCACCCGCCAGGGCAGACUGGCUCCAGAUGCUUUUCUUCCUCUUGCUUAAGAAAUGGAUGUUGGCCGAGUUCCCGCCGUGGCGCAGAGGAAACAAAUCUGACUGGUAGCAUCCAUGAGGACACAGGGUGGAUCCCUGGCCUCGCUCAGUGGGCUAAGGAUCCAGCGUUGCUGUGGCUGUGGUGUAGGCUGGCAGCAACAGCUCCGAUUUGACUCCUAGUCUGGGAACUUCCAUAUGCCAUGGAUGUGGUCCUAAAAAGCAAAAAAAAAAGAAAGAAAGAUGGAGUUCCCGUCGAGAGAGAGGUCUGUGGAUUCCCACCACCCUCAUCCACCCCCCUGCCCCUCCCCCACACCCAGCCACAAAUCCCAGACCUUAGCGCGUCUUACUCGUGGCAUCAAGUAAGUCCGUGCAGGUCUGAGACCCCAGAUCCUGGUUACAGUCACAGCUAUGCCCUGGUCAGAGAGGUAGGGCAGUGCAGACCAUGACUAGGAAAUGGGGGGUUGACUCAGAGGGAGAGAGACUCCUGGGCAUCAAAUAUCUCUGAAUACUGGAACCACCUUUGGGUGGUCAACUUUGCAGCUCUGCAAAGGCCCUCCCCUCCUUCCCCUUCUGCCCCGUCCUCUCCUCCAACAAGGUGAAUCGACCGUGAGAGAUUUUUGGCUUCAUGUUAGCUGUCGGAGAACAUGUAGGUUGUCUCUAGAAGUGAUGAGCUCCCCAUCAGUAGAGGCAUUCAACACAGAGAGGCUGUCUACUAGGAGGGGCACUCCCGGCAGUCACUGACAGACCCCGCCCCCCUCUCUGCAGUUUUUCUGGUCAUCCCCACUUAGGGUCUCAUAAGCAAUGCAAAGCCAAUAAGUCCCAAACUGAGCUCCUGAAUACCCACCCCAAUGAGACACCUCCGUCUUUCCCAAUCAGGAGCCCAGACCCCAAAACUCUGGCCAGAAGAGGGCUUCAGUAUGGAAGAUGAUGACAUGAGAAUGGCCAUCCCACACAGGACACGGGCCAUCUGGAAAAGGAGCUCCAUCCUAGAGGGCGAGUGCCCAGCCACCAGUGUCUGCUGUCUCUCUGAGGAGCUGGGUGGGAGGGGCAAUCCCCCCUGGUAGCCCGGGUGGGGUGGAAGCACAUGGUAGAGGAGGCGGGGUGUGUGUGUGGGGGGGGUAGGGGGGAGUAGCACCUUUUUUCAGUGCAACCCUAAUCUCGCCAGUUUUCUUACCCCACUGGUCUAGAAAGAAGAUCACACAUCCCCAGACUCUCAAGCAUCCAAAGGCCCAAGGGGCCAGUCAGCAGCAGGUGGACCCUCCCAGUUUCCUCAUUCCCACUGUACAGGGCCUCUGUCACCUCUGAACAGCCUCCCUCAGGAAAAAGAAGCCUGCUCGGGACUCUGCCGAUGACGCAAGGCCCUGCUGUGACGGAACUGGUCUUUCCCCCGAGUCUCUCCUGUCCAUCCCGUCCUGGGUCCUGCCCACUGCUCGGAGUGUGCCCCUCACCAGCUCGAGCACCCUCAGCGGCUCCCUUCUACGCAGGGAAAACAAGGAGAGGCGUUCUAAAAGCCGAGCCCGUCCUUUUCCCAGGUCGCUGCUCCCUGACUGUCUUGUGAGCCACUUGAAGAUGGGACCACAUCAGAAAUCAGGCUCGUAGGAAGAAAGGCCAGGCAGAUAAAAGAGCUGGGCCUGGCUCAGCGCCCUGCCAAGUGUGCGGUGAGGGUGGCAAACAGCGCCAGGGCGGGGGACGUGCUCUGCCCCUCCCCGGCCACAUGGGAAGCCCAGGGUUAGUUACAGGAGAUCUGAGGCAGGAAAGCCCCACUUAGGACCUGGCAUGCAGAUGCCUGUGGGGAGACUCAGGGGCCCAGGAAUCCCGGCCCUGGCUGGGCACCCUCUGGAGCCUGGCUGAGGUACACCCCAGACCCGGCACAGUGCUGGGGCCCGGCAGGUGCUCAGCAGUGGUUUAUUAGAGUAAAAUGCAGCCUCUGUGCCCCGUCUCCCCAUUCACUCUGGACUGCUUAACCCAGCAUCUGGCUGGGGACUGGGUGGCCUGAGUCUGCCAGGCAGAGAGGGGAGGUAGGGGGAGGCGGGCUUCCACCCACCCUCUCACCCCCGGUUCCAGAGGCAGCCAGGCUGGCUCUCCUCUUGCCUGUCUUCUGAGCCUCACUCUCUGCCUUGACUCUAGUAUGGAGACAGCUUCAAGGAUGGCCUGGGCCAGCCCUGCCGUGGCCCAGAACGGUCACACACAUGUUCUCUUUCUCUCCCUGCUCCUACACUGGGAGGUGGUUUUCUGCAGUCCCUGGGUUCUGAGUCACUGCGCAGGUCACUGGAGGCAGGCAUGUCCCUCAAGGACAAAGGGCACGCUGUGUGGAACCACGGCCUCUAUGGACUCGCUCACUAGGGUUCUUAUCCCCAUUUUGCAGAUGAAGAUGUUGAGAUCCAAACUUGUCCAGGGCAGUGAGAUCUGAUUAGGGGCAGGGUCACUGCAGCCCAGGGCUUGGCUCCUUAUAAACUGGGGUUGGGGCCUUUAGAGGCUGGCCCGGGGCCACUGCCCAAUGUUCCCAUUCGCUGAGCACUCCCCACCCUACCACCAGUUCCCAAGGUGAAUUGCCCAGCUUGACUGUCCAU
Molecule: long non-coding RNA, 5089 nt
Filed under: Sus scrofa (pig)
Lineage: Eukaryota; Metazoa; Chordata; Mammalia; Artiodactyla; Suidae
Description: lncRNA (ENSSSCG00000055506.1)
Source: RNAcentral